AGUGAACGCUGGCGGCAGGCCUAACACAUGCAAGUCGAGCGGCAGCGGGUCCUUCGGGAUGCCGGCGAGCGGCGGACGGGUGAGGAAUACAUCGGAAUCUGCCCUGUCGUGGGGGAUAACCUAGGGAAACUUAGGCUAAUACCGCAUACGACCUACGUGUGAAAGCGGGGGAUCGCAAGACCUCGCGCGACAGGAUGAGCCGAUGUCCGAUUAGCUAGUUGGCGGGGUAAAGGCCCACCAAGGCGACGAUCGGUAGCUGGUCUGAGAGGAUGAUCAGCCACACUGGAACUGAGACACGGCCCAGACUCCUACGGGAGGCAGCAGUGGGGAAUAUUGGACAAUGGGCGCAAGCCUGAUCCAGCCAUGCCGCGUGGGUGAAGAAGGCCUUCGGGUUGUAAAGCCCUUUUGUCCGGGAAGAAAUCGUCUGGGCUAAUACCCCGGGCGGAUGACGGUACCGGAAGAAUAAGCACCGGCUAACUUCGUG
Molecule: ribosomal RNA, 484 nt
Filed under: uncultured bacterium
Lineage: Bacteria
Description: partial 16S ribosomal RNA
Rfam family: Bacterial small subunit ribosomal RNA
Source: RNAcentral